RNAcentral lists this ribosomal RNA (255 nucleotides) under Triticum aestivum (bread wheat). RNAcentral's name for it is "partial small subunit ribosomal RNA". Lineage: Eukaryota; Viridiplantae; Streptophyta; Magnoliopsida; Poales; Poaceae. The record is from RNAcentral.
AUGCGUCUGAAUUCAUCCGAAGGUAGUCCAGAAGAGAAAGCAAAAACAGCUGAAUUCGCAAACUGGAUACUAAACAUAGGCGAUGGCACAACGUCAACAAUAGAUGAAGAGGAUUGGGUUAGCAUCCCAGAGGACCUUAUUUUACAUGAAGGGGAUGACCCGAAAGCAUCUAUUGUUAACACCACCUAUCCUGACUUACACAGAAAAUACACUGAUAGAACAUACCUUGAGGAAAGAGCGAUCUUGUGCCCAUGA